RNAcentral lists this transfer RNA (85 nucleotides) under bacterium. Its description in RNAcentral is "tRNA-Leu". It matches the Rfam family "tRNA". Rfam says of the family: Transfer RNA (tRNA) molecules are approximately 80 nucleotides in length. Their secondary structure includes four short double-helical elements and three loops (D, anti-codon, and T loops). The record is from RNAcentral. RNAcentral also lists the same sequence under 1 other name.
GGGAAUGUGGCGGAAUUGGUAGACGCGGCGGACUCAAAAUCCGCUGGGGCGACCCUUGAGAGUUCGAUUCUCUCCAUUCCUACCA